This 468-nucleotide ribosomal RNA is filed under the name uncultured bacterium. Its description in RNAcentral is "partial 16S ribosomal RNA". It matches the Rfam family "Bacterial small subunit ribosomal RNA", at positions 28 to 507 of the family's 1533-position model. The record is from RNAcentral.
GACGAACGCUGGCGGCGUGCUUAACACAUGCAAGUCGAACGGAAAGGCCCUGCUUUUGUGGGGUGCCCGAGUGGCGAACGGGUGAGUAACACGUGAGUAACCUGCUCUUGACUUUGGGAUAACUUCAGGAAACUGGGGCUAAUACCGGAUAGGAGCUCCUGCUGCAUGGUGGGGGUUGGAAAGUUUCGGCGGUUGGGGAUGGACUCGCGGCUUAUCAGCUUGUUGGUGGGGUAGUGGCUUACCAAGGCUUUGACGGGUAGGCGGCCUGAGAGGGUGACCGGCCACAUUGGGACUGAGGUACGGCCCAGACUCCUACGGGAGGCAGCAGUGGGGAAUAUUGCACAAUGGGCGGAAGCCUGAUGCAGCAACGCCGCGUGCGGGAUGACGGCCUUCGGGUUGUAAACCGCUUUCGCCUGUGACGAAGCGUGAGUGACGGUAAUGGGUAAAGAAGCACCGGCUAACUACGUG